AGAACUUGCUAAACAUAUUGCUGAGGAGGAUGACGACGAAUUCUGAUGACAGGUCUUUGCAUCGGUGCACUCUAGGAUUCUCUCCCGUGUCGCGCCAUGGUUGUCAGAUCUUCGUACGAUGAUGUUCCUCUCACUGUCACUGAUGGAGGCUACUAGCAUUCAAAUUUGUGCAUGCACUUUGAUUCAUUGAACAGCGAAGAACUCCAUUGUCAAUGUUGAACAUGGUUGAAAUGCAAGUUUAUCCACAUUUAUUUUUUUAAAAAUACAUUCUGUGUUUCGUUCAAUGAAAUUGC
Molecule: long non-coding RNA, 293 nt
Filed under: Salvia miltiorrhiza (redroot sage)
Lineage: Eukaryota; Viridiplantae; Streptophyta; Magnoliopsida; Lamiales; Lamiaceae
Description: long non-coding RNA (SMIL_LNC004648)
Source: RNAcentral